GUCACCUGUUCCCUGGUCCUCUGAUUAGCUGCCCUAUUGUUUCUUGUCCACCUUUGUCUGUAUUUAAGUUUGCCUUCGUCCUUUGUUCCACGUGGUGUCGUUAUGUCUCUUUGGAUUUUGUUCUUGCUGCGCAUCCUGUUAAGUUCUGUUUUGAAGAUGCCUUGUAAUCAGGAUUAUCCUGUCAUCCAGAACCUCGCCUGCAUAAGGAUCUGGACAGAAGGAUCUCUAUGUCUCCUGAAUGCAGCUGUGCCGGCUCCAACCCUCCUCAGAGCUCCUGAGUCUGUUCCUAGCCUCCUCCUGCCACCAAAUAAGCUUUAGCAUAGGGCAACCUCCAUGCCCUUGUUUAAAGCAGUGGCAGCUUCCACACCUUCAUCUGCAGCAGCAGUUCCCUUGUCUGCAGAAACAGAGGUUCUCACAUCUGUUACUGUAACAGUAGCUCUCUGGACUGCUGUAUUUACUUUAGAGACUCCCAUCAUGCACCAUUCAGCUCCAUCAACAUCUCCAUUCUCUCCAUUUACUCCCCUGGAUCCGUCAUCAUCGCUGCCAUGUGCUGCUCCCGUUCAGUCUUCUUCAAAUCCAUUCCAAGGUGUUUGAGGACUUGCCAUCUACAGCCCUGGCCAGGUGAAUACGUCUUGUCAUCUGAUCCAAAGCUCUUUCAAGGGUUCCUCCAGCUUCCACAGCAUUCUCUAGUUCUCCUUUUGAAGAUUCCAUUGGUUCCACCACCAUUCUCCAGUGCUCCUCCUUGGGUUCAAGAGUCCCAUGGACCAGACUCCUGAGGUCCUCUGUGGGCUCCAGUCUCGCCAGACCUCCUUUGAUAUCGCCUGCCUCCUGACCUUAAUGCCUCCUCAGGUUGACCUCCAGGUCAUCCUUCUGAACUCAGGUUUUUGUUUCUUGUCCUCCUUCUGAGCCCCCCGUAGCCCAUCCUGUUUGGGUUGUUUUUUCCUUUUUGGACUCUGGUCUCUGGACUGUUGUAUCUGUCCUUAGCUAGGAGGGUCUGGUUUAUUUGGGUAGUACCUUCACCAUUUCCUUGUCAUUUAUGUCUUCUUAUAUUCUGUGUUCAUUACUUGGGGAAAAAAUUCCAGUAAACUAUUUUGAGAAGCUUGCUGAAGAAUACCCAAAAUGUUGGACCCAAGUAAAAGUAUUUAUAAAGAAAUUCUACCAAAUAUCAAUUAAAAUGAUGUUAACCCUG
Girardinichthys multiradiatus is the source of this 1189-nucleotide long non-coding RNA. RefSeq lists it as uncharacterized. The record is from RefSeq and is a predicted model, not a curated record. Lineage: Eukaryota; Metazoa; Chordata; Actinopteri; Cyprinodontiformes; Goodeidae. The transcript has 2 exons.